Molecule: ribosomal RNA, 460 nt
Filed under: uncultured bacterium
Lineage: Bacteria
Description: partial 16S ribosomal RNA
Rfam family: Bacterial small subunit ribosomal RNA
Source: RNAcentral
CCUACGGGUGGCUGCAGUGAGGAAUAUUGGUCAAUGGACGAGAGUCUGAACCAGCCAAGUAGCGUGGAGGAUGACUGCCCUAUGGGUUGUAAACUUCUUUUAUAUGGGAAUAAAACGUUCCACGUGUGGGAUUUUGUAUGUACCAUAUGAAUAAGGAUCGGCUAACUCCGUGCCAGCAGCCGCGGUAAUACGGAGGAUCCGAGCGUUAUCCGGAUUUAUUGGGUUUAAAGGGAGCGUAGAUGGGUUGUUAAGUCAGUUGUGAAAGUUUGCGGCUCAACCGUAAAAUUGCAAUUGAUACUGGCAGUCUUGAGUACAGUUGAGGUAGGCGGAAUUCGUGGUGUAGCGGUGAAAUGCUUAGAUAUCACGAAGAACUCCGAUUGCGAAGGCAGCAUACCGGCGCCCGACUGACGCUGAGGCACGAAAGCGUGGGGAUCGAACAGGAUUAGAUACCCGAGUAGUC